CAUGACUGUCCUAAGUACUUUACAGUUGUUACCUCACAUGGUCCUCUCAACAACUAGUAUACUAUAAUUAUUUCCAUUUUAUAGAUGAAGAAACUGAGGCAAAUAGAAGCUAAGAGACUCACCUAAAAUGUCAAGCUCCUUGAAGGCAGAAAUUGAAUGUAAUUAACAUUUUAUCAUCUCUACCACAAGAAUUCCUGGAACAUAGUUUGUGUCAAGUCUGAAGAAUCCCAAAGAUUUGUUCCACCAAUUAAUCAACUUCUCUUCCCAAUACAUCUAUCUCAUUUGCUGGCUCUCACUGAACAUCUAAGUUCUAUCCAAUGACCCCCUGGGAACAGGAACUACAUAUUUUCUGAAUUCUGGGUAUUGUUCUCCAACCACACAAAAUCUAUCUUCUCAGUGACAAAGUAGGAAGCCAUGGACUUGAAACGUGGUAUUUUGUCAAAAGAUUCAUUUUGCAACAACUUUCUUAUUUUUCAUUUAAGAGUGACAUACUUAUGAAAAUACAUUGGUGAAUUUA
Monodelphis domestica (gray short-tailed opossum) is the source of this 517-nucleotide long non-coding RNA. RefSeq lists it as uncharacterized. The record is from RefSeq and is a predicted model, not a curated record. Lineage: Eukaryota; Metazoa; Chordata; Mammalia; Didelphimorphia; Didelphidae.